This 189-nucleotide unclassified non-coding RNA is filed under the name Glomeraceae sp. Its description in RNAcentral is "partial contains 5.8S ribosomal RNA and internal transcribed spacer 2". The stretch from base 1 to 71 matches the Rfam family "5.8S ribosomal RNA", at positions 84 to 154 of the family's 154-position model. Lineage: Eukaryota; Fungi; Glomeromycota; Glomeromycetes; Glomerales; Glomeraceae. The record is from RNAcentral.
GUGAAUCAUCAAAUUUUUGAACGCAAAUUGCACUCUCUGGCAUUCCGGGGAGUAUGCCUGUUUGAGGGUCAGUUUUAAUAAAAAACGGGGUGUUGUUGGAAUUUGUUGCGGUUGCAGAGGUUGGGGUAUGUUUUCUUUUUGGGUUAAGGGGCUUAAAAUUUGCCUGUUUUGCGCGUUUUUAUAUAUAUA